UACAGAGGUCUCAAGCGUUGUUCGGAUUCAUUGGGCGUAAAGGGUGCGUAGGCGGCGCGGUAAGUCGGGUGUGAAAUCUCGGAGCUUAACUCCGAAACUGCAUUCGAUACUGCCGUGCUUGAGGACUGGAGAGGAGACUGGAAUUUACGGUGUAGCGGUGAAAUGCGUAGAUAUCGUUUGGAACGCCAAUGGUGAAAACAGGUAACUGGGAGUGUGCCGACGCUGAGACACGAAAGCCAGGGGAGCGAACGGG
This 253-nucleotide ribosomal RNA is filed under the name uncultured bacterium. RNAcentral's name for it is "partial 16S ribosomal RNA". It matches the Rfam family "Bacterial small subunit ribosomal RNA", at positions 524 to 776 of the family's 1533-position model. The record is from RNAcentral.